GAUAAACGCUGGCGGCGCACAUAAGACAUGCAAGUCGAACGGACUUAACCAUUAGUUUACUAUUGGAGCGGUUAGUGGCGGACUGGUGAGUAACACGUAAGCAACCUGCCUGUUAGAGGGGAACAACAGUUAGAAAUGGCUGCUAAUACCGCAUAAGCGCACAGUACCGCAUGGUACAGUGUGAAAAACUCCGGUGGUAUGAGAUGGACCCGCGUCUGAUUAGCUGGUUGGUGGGGUAACGGCCCACCAAGGCGACGAUCAGUAGCCGGCCUGAGAGGGUGAACGGCCACAUUGGGACUGAGACACGGCCCAA
This 313-nucleotide ribosomal RNA is filed under the name uncultured bacterium. RNAcentral describes it as "bacterial SSU rRNA". It matches the Rfam family "Bacterial small subunit ribosomal RNA", at positions 28 to 334 of the family's 1533-position model. The record is from RNAcentral.